Molecule: long non-coding RNA, 1845 nt
Filed under: Salmo salar (Atlantic salmon)
Lineage: Eukaryota; Metazoa; Chordata; Actinopteri; Salmoniformes; Salmonidae
Description: lncRNA (ENSSSAG00000098192.1)
Source: RNAcentral
AUCGUGUUCGUGAUGUAGUCAGCUAAACCCGUAUAUACUAUUUGUCUAGUGUACAGCUUUUAGGUCCGUGUGAAAACAGUAAUCCAGUGGAGGAAGAAGUGAAAAGUGACUCGGGUCUCGGCCAGCUACAGUCUGUCAGUGCUUCAACCUGCUGCCGAAAAAAGAAGAACAAGACGCGUGUAACGUGCAAAUAAGGACCUGAGCCCUAGGACCAUGCCCCAGGACUACCUGGCAUGAUGACUCCUUGCUGUCCCCAGUCCACCUGGCCAUGCUGCUGCUCCAGUUUCAACUGUUCUGCCUGCGGCUAUGGAACCCUGACCUGUUCACCGGACGUGCUACCUGUCCCAGACCUGCUGUUUUCAACUCUCUAGAGACAGCUCUUAUUUGACCAUGCUGGUCAUUUAUGAACAUUUGAACAUCUUGGCCAUGUUCUGUUAUAAUCUCUACCCGGUACAGCCAGAAGAGGACUGGCCACCCCUCAUAGCCUGGUUCCUCUCUAGGUUUCUUCCUGGGUUUUGGCCUUUCUAGGGAGUUUUUCCUAGCCACCGUGCUUCUACACCUGCAUUACUUGCUGUUUGGGGUUUUAGGCUGGGUUUCUGUACAGCACUUAUAUCAGCUGAUGUAAGAAGGGCUAUAUAAAUGCAUUUGAUUUGAUUUGAUUAGAAAAGAGAGGGACUGAGUUCAUUCACAACACACUGUAGAAAGGAGAGGGACUGAGUUCAUUCACAACACACUGUAGAAAGGAGAGGGACUGAGUUCAUUCAGACACUGUCUGCUAUCCGCCCGGUACAAUUUAAACCGGGAUUGAUCUAUGAAGAAUCACACUUCUCCAGCGUGCCAGUGGCCACCGAAGGUGAACAUUUGCCCACUGAAGUCGGUUACGACGCCGAACGGCAGUCAGGUCAAGAUCCUGGUGAGGACGACGAGCACGCAGAUGUGCUUGUUGACCAGUAAGGGUUAUUAAGAAGGUAGGGGCAGAUAUUGUUGAGCGGUUGUCAUACCGCUGAUAAUAAAAGUUGAUCAGGUGACCUGAAACACCUUGGAAAACCCUGGUCUAGAGGAGGAUGAUCUGGCCAAUCAGCGGUCUACUCUCAUGAAUAUUUUGAACGACUGGUAUACGCCCACAACAUUCCAACACAUAAAAUCUGCUUUUUAACAUACAAUAAAAGUUAAAUGGUAAUUAAGUAAUUAAUUAUAGGUAAUAUUUCAUAGAAAUCUGGAAACACUGGACAGUAGCUUCGGGGUGGCAGGUAGCCUAGCGGUUAGCGCGUUGGGCCAGUAACCAAAAGGUUGCAAGAUCAAAUCCCUGAGCUGACAAGGUAAAAAUCUGUUGUUCUGCCCCUGAACAAGUCAGUUAACCCACGGUUCCUAGGCUGUCAUUGUAAAUAAGAACUGGUUCUUAACAGACUUGCCUAGUUAAAUAAAGGUCAAAUAAAAAUACAUCUGAAUGGAAUGACAGCAAGAAUAAGACAACCCCUGAAGGUGACAAGUCAAACCUCAAUGAUGAGAUCAGAGGAUUUAACAAACUGAAGUCAACUGAGGACAUUCAGUUGUUUUCUUUCUCAAUUUCCACCCUUGUCUCCCACAGUCAUCUGCCCCCUUGUGGCCGGCUUGGGAACAGCUUGGAUCUUCUUGUCCCAUGAGUGACCUUUGAGCGCUGCUGGACUUCCAGCACAAGAACUUCACAUGUCCACUUGAUGAGGACUCAGUUAACUGGAGCCUUUACCCAUGAUAUAAACCACAGAGCCAGUCUAAAACCCAUGAUAUAAACCACAGAGCCAGUCUAAAACCCAUGAUGCAAUAGAGAACAAUAAAAUAAACACCUAUUAAACACAUCUCUGUCCA